This is a long non-coding RNA of Sander lucioperca (pikeperch), 952 nucleotides long. RefSeq lists it as uncharacterized. The transcript is spliced from 2 exons. Lineage: Eukaryota; Metazoa; Chordata; Actinopteri; Perciformes; Percidae. The record is from RefSeq and is a predicted model, not a curated record.
GCCUUUGUAACAGCCAUCAAGCACUUUGAUACAACGCUAAUUGUCAGUGGUAGCAACAAAAGUUUUGACCGUUAGGAGGUGGAGCGUAAGCGUGAGUUACUUUGCUGGCCCACUUUUUUCAUUCUUAUAUCCAGACCAAAACCUAAAUAUAAAUUCUGAGAUCAAAGCCCAUAUCAUCUUUUCAGUGUUUCCCCAGUAUUUUAAGAUGGGCAACAACAUCUUUAAAGGGAAAUAAGCUGUUAACCUUUGCUGAAACUUGUGGACUGACUAAGCUGCUUUUUAAGUUAAGUUUUACAAGGUAAAGUGUGACGUACAGUAGGUGAAAGCUAUAGUUUUUUUUAUUUUUUUAUAAAUGAUUAUGCAACAGUUAUUUAAGAAAGUAAUUUUAAACAAAUUUGUACAAAUGAUCAUGCCUAUAGCUGUAAUGUCGUAAUAGAAAAUCACAUAACAAUGAGCAUUCGAACAAUAAUUGUUUUAUUUCAAAUGUCCUCACUCUGACAGCUACUGUAUAUCUACAGUCUAGAAAUAAACACAAAACAAUCAUCCCAUCUAGGUUAUAGGUCAUUGGAAGAUUAGUAAAAGUAACUUUAGGCAAGUGUAUUUGGAAGGCACCUUUCACGUACGGAGGCAAUUCAAGGUGCUUUAUAUAAGGAAAGAAAUAAUGAACAAAAAGAAGAGAAAUGAAAUAAAACAACAUUUAAAACACAUUAGACAAUAGAAUAAAGUGAGAUAAAUAAAAUAGGACAAAAUAAAAAUAAAAUACAUUAAAACAAAUCAUAGAAUAGAACAAAUCAUAUUGUACAGUUACAGUUUCCCUAAAUUCAAAUUAAAGUAAACCAAGCAACCCAAUGAGAGCUAUUCUGAGACAAAACAGGAAGGAAGUGUUUAACUCAAUUGUAUAUAUAAAACAAACCGAAAAGGAUGACAUUUGACUUGCUAUUCCUUGAUGAUU